CACAUGCAAGUCGAGGGGCAGCACGGGAGUAGCAAUACAACUGGUGGCGACCGGCGCACGGGUGAGUAACGCGUAUGCAACCUACCUAUCAGAGGGGAAUAACCCGGCGAAAGUCGGACUAAUACCGCAUAAAACAGGGGCACCGCAUGGUGAUAUUUGUUAAAGAAAUUCGCUGAUAGAUGGGCAUGCGUUCCAUUAGGUAGUUGGUGAGGUAACGGCUCACCAAGCCGACGAUGGAUAGGGGAACUGAGAGGUUGGUCCCCCACACUGGUACUGAGACACGGACCAGACUCCUACGGGAGGCAGCAGUGAGGAAUAUUGGUCAAUGGGCGGGAGCCUGAACCAGCCAAGUCGCGUGAAGGAAGAAGGAUCUAUGGUUCGUAAACUUCUUUUGCAGGGGAAUAAAGUGCAGGACGUGUCCUGUUUUGUAUGUACCCUGAGAAUAAGGAUCGGCUAACUCCGUGCCAGCAGCCGCGGUAAUACGGAGGAUCCGAGCGUUAUCCGGAUUUAUUGGGUUUAAAGGGUGCGUAGGUGGUUUGAUAAGUCAGCGGUGAAAGUUUGCAGCUUAACUGUAAAAAUGCCGUUGAAACUGUCGGACUUGAGUGUAAAUGAGGUAGGCGGAAUGCGUGGUGUAGCGGUGAAAUGCAUAGAUAUCACGCAGAACUCCGAUUGCGAAGGCAGCUUACUAAGCUACAACUGACACUGAAGCACGAAAGCGUGGGGAUCAAACAGGAUUAGAUACCCUGGUAGUCCACGCAGUAAACGAUGAUUACUAGCUGUUUGCGAUACACAGUAAGCGGCACAGCGAAAGCGUUAAGUAAUCCACCU
Molecule: ribosomal RNA, 828 nt
Filed under: uncultured bacterium
Lineage: Bacteria
Description: bacterial SSU rRNA
Rfam family: Bacterial small subunit ribosomal RNA
Source: RNAcentral